CCUACGGGGGGCUGCAGUGGGGAAUAUUGGACAAUGGGAGCAACCCUGAUCCAGCCAUGCCGCGUGUGUGAAGAAGGCCCUCGGGUUGUAAAGCACUUUCAGUGAGGAAGAACGCCUGGUGGUUAAUACCCAUCAGGAAAGACAUCACUCACAGAAGAAGCACCGGCUAACUCCGUGCCAGCAGCCGCGGUAAUACGGAGGGUGCGAGCGUUAAUCGGAAUUACUGGGCGUAAAGCGCGCGUAGGUGGCUUGAUAAGCCGGUUGUGAAAGCCCCGGGCUCAACCUGGGAACGGCAUCCGGAACUGUCAAGCUAGAGUGCAGGAGAGGAAGGUAGAAUUCCCGGUGUAGCGGUGAAAUGCGUAGAGAUCGGGAGGAAUACCAGUGGCGAAGGCGGCCUUCUGGACUGACACUGACACUGAGGUGCGAAAGCGUGGGUAGCAAACAGGAUUAGAUACCCCGGUAGUC
Molecule: ribosomal RNA, 465 nt
Filed under: Vreelandella stevensii
Lineage: Bacteria; Pseudomonadati; Pseudomonadota; Gammaproteobacteria; Oceanospirillales; Halomonadaceae
Description: partial 16S ribosomal RNA
Rfam family: Bacterial small subunit ribosomal RNA
Source: RNAcentral